This 505-nucleotide ribosomal RNA is filed under the name uncultured bacterium. RNAcentral describes it as "bacterial SSU rRNA". It matches the Rfam family "Bacterial small subunit ribosomal RNA", at positions 19 to 518 of the family's 1533-position model. The record is from RNAcentral.
CUGGCUCAGGAUGAACGCUAGCGGCAGGCUUAACACAUGCAAGUCGAGGGGCAUCGGGAGUAGCAAUACGUUGCCGGCGACCGGCGCAAGGGUGCGUAACGCGUGAGCAACAUGCCUGUAUCAGGGGGAUAAUCCAUGGAAACGUGGUCUAAUACCCCAUAGUAAUUAUGUAAGGCAUCUUAUAUAAUUUAAAGCUUUGGUGGAUACGGAUUGGCUCGCGUGACAUUAGCUAGAUGGUAAGGUAACGGCUUACCAUGGCUACGAUGUCUAGGGGUUCUGAGAGGAAGGUCCCCCACACUGGAACUGAGACACGGUCCAGACUCCUACGGGAGGCAGCAGUGAGGAAUAUUGGUCAAUGGACGGAAGUCUGAACCAGCCAUGCCGCGUGCAGGAAGACGGCUCUAUGAGUUGUAAACUGCUUUUGUACGAGGGUAAACGCAGAUACGUGUAUCUGUCUGAAAGUAUCGUACGAAUAAGGAUCGGCUAACUCCGUGCCAGCCGCCGC